Molecule: ribosomal RNA, 460 nt
Filed under: uncultured bacterium
Lineage: Bacteria
Description: partial 16S ribosomal RNA
Rfam family: Bacterial small subunit ribosomal RNA
Source: RNAcentral
CCUACGGGAGGCAGCAGUGAGGAAUAUUGGUCAAUGGGCGUGAGACUGAACCAGCCAAGUAGCGUGCAGGAUGACUGCCCUACGGGUUGUAAACUUCUUUUAUGCAGGGAUAAAGUGAGGCACGUGUGCCUUUUUGUAUGUACUUUAUGAAUAAGGAUCGGCUAACUCCGUGCCAGCAGCCGCGGUAAUACGGAGGAUCCGAGCGUUAUCCGGAUUUAUUGGGUUUAAAGGGAGCGUAGGUGGGUUGUUAAGUCUGUUGUGAAAGUUUGCGGCUCAACCGUAAAAUUGCAAUUGAUACUGGCAGCCUUGAGUACAGUGGAGGUAGGCGGAAUUCGUGGUGUAGCGGUGAAAUGCUUAGAUAUCACGAAGAACUCCGAUUGCGAAGGCAGCUUACUAAACUGCCACUGACAUUGAUGCUCGAAAGUGUGGGUAUCAAACAGGAUUAGAUACCCUUGUAGUC